Molecule: ribosomal RNA, 468 nt
Filed under: uncultured bacterium
Lineage: Bacteria
Description: partial 16S ribosomal RNA
Rfam family: Bacterial small subunit ribosomal RNA
Source: RNAcentral
GACGAACGCUGGCGGCGUGCUUAACACAUGCAAGUCGAACGGAAAGGCCCUGCUUUUGUGGGGUGCUCGAGUGGCGAACGGGUGAGUAACACGUGAGUAACCUGCCCUUGACUUUGGGAUAACUUCAGGAAACUGGGGCUAAUACCGGAUAGGAGCUCCUGCUGCAUGGUGGGGGUUGGAAAGUUUCGGCGGUUGGGGAUGGACUCGCGGCUUAUCAGCUUGUUGGUGGGGUAGUGGCUUACCAAGGCUUUGACGGGUAGCCGGCCUGAGAGGGUGUACGGCCACAUUGGGACUGAGAUACGGCCCAGACUCCUACGGGAGGCAGCAGUGGGGAAUAUUGCACAAUGGGCGGAAGCCUGAUGCAGCAACGCCGCGUGCGGGAUGACGGCCUUCGGGUUGUAAACCGCUUUCGCCUGUGACGAAGCGUGAGUGACGGUAAUGGGUAAAGAAGCACCGGCUAACUACGUG